RNAcentral lists this long non-coding RNA (665 nucleotides) under Homo sapiens (human). RNAcentral's name for it is "HSALNT0334560". The record is from RNAcentral. Lineage: Eukaryota; Metazoa; Chordata; Mammalia; Primates; Hominidae.
CUUUGUGAUUGGCUCAUGGUCCUGUCAAUCUCGAUCUGAACUGUGUUGCUAGGUGAAGAUUCCAACUUCCUGGGCAGAGGGUCAUGUAGUGGAAUAGAGCUGUACCUGGCUUCAGGCGAGACUUGGAGCUCAAAACUUUCAGUAGGACAGCCAGGCGCGGUGGCUGAUGCCUGUAAUCCCAGCACUUUGGGAGGCCGAGGUGGGCGGAUCACGAGCAACUCCAAAAUGGAAGUACUAUUGUUAUCUCCGUUUACAAAUUAGGAAACUGAGGCACAGAUAUGCUCUUGGGUACUUGUCAGCAGCAGUUGUUCUACAAAUGAGCGUCUUAGCCUCUGGAUUACUGCUCAAUGAGGAAAGCUAUGAAAUGCAUGGAUAACUUGCUAAUCAGUAUUUGCCAUAUGUGCUAGCAGCAUCAGCAUCAGUUGGGAGAUUAUGGUGGCCUCCAUGUCAGACCUCCUAAAUCGGAAUAUCAGAGAAGGUGGCCCAGGUUACCAUGCUUCAUCUGCCAAUGCAUUGAAAACUUGGAAUGUAAAUUAAUUCAACCAUUGUGGAAGAUGGUGUAGUGAUUCCUCAAAGACCUAGAAGCAGAAAUAUCAUUUGAUCCAGAAAUCCCAUUACUGUGUAUACACCCAAAGGAAUAUAAACCAUUCUAUUACAAAGAUACA